This 547-nucleotide ribosomal RNA is filed under the name Trichoderma hamatum. Its description in RNAcentral is "eukaryotic LSU rRNA". The stretch from base 163 to 316 matches the Rfam family "5.8S ribosomal RNA". Lineage: Eukaryota; Fungi; Ascomycota; Sordariomycetes; Hypocreales; Hypocreaceae. The record is from RNAcentral.
CCAAUGUGAACGUUACCAAACUGUUGCCUCGGCGGGGUCACGCCCCGGGUGCGUAAAAGCCCCGGAACCAGGCGCCCGCCGGAGGAACCAACCAAACUCUUUCUGUAGUCCCCUCGCGGACGUAUUUCUUACAGCUCUGAGCAAAAAUUCAAAAUGAAUCAAAACUUUCAACAACGGAUCUCUUGGUUCUGGCAUCGAUGAAGAACGCAGCGAAAUGCGAUAAGUAAUGUGAAUUGCAGAAUUCAGUGAAUCAUCGAAUCUUUGAACGCACAUUGCGCCCGCCAGUAUUCUGGCGGGCAUGCCUGUCCGAGCGUCAUUUCAACCCUCGAACCCCUCCGGGGGAUCGGCGUUGGGGAUCGGGACCCCUCACCGGGUGCCGGCCCUGAAAUACAGUGGCGGUCUCGCCGCAGCCUCUCCUGCGCAGUAGUUUGCACAACUCGCACCGGGAGCGCGGCGCGUCCACGUCCGUAAAACACCCAACUUCUGAAAUGUUGACCUCGGAUCAGGUAGGAAUACCCGCUGAACUUAAGCAUAUCAAUAAGCGGAG